GCUGGGAUAGCUCAGUUGGUAGAGCAUCUCCAUGGUAAGGAGAAGGUCGUGGGUUCAAGUCCCAUUCCCAGCU
Molecule: transfer RNA, 73 nt
Filed under: Elusimicrobiaceae bacterium
Lineage: Bacteria; Pseudomonadati; Elusimicrobiota; Elusimicrobia; Elusimicrobiales; Elusimicrobiaceae
Also listed under: 1 other name
Description: tRNA-Thr
Rfam family: tRNA
About the family: Transfer RNA (tRNA) molecules are approximately 80 nucleotides in length. Their secondary structure includes four short double-helical elements and three loops (D, anti-codon, and T loops).
Source: RNAcentral